AACAAGUGAUAAGGUUGAGUUCUGGUCCUUCUUCUAGAGUGCAUGAUUCAUCUUCACCACCUGAGAUAAUAUUCAGAUCCAAAAGGGUAACACUAACAUGCUGCUUUUUUGGCUCCUUAUUUUCUAAUUCCUCUUCUAAUUCCUCAACACAUAGCUGUUUCUUCUUUUCAUGUGGAUGCUGAAGUGGGGUACUUGGACUUGGGGGAGCCUCUGGUGGAGGAGCAGAAGAAGAGAAGAUGCUUGAACUUGUCGGUCUGUCACAAAAGCAUGGCUCCUUCAUGCUUAGUCCUUCCAUUGCUAGCUGCAGAGUACUUUCUUGUUUGUUAGGUUAAGGAAUUUUAAUUUGUUGAUUCUUCACAUUUUAAAUGGAUAAAAGUAGGAUAUAUAUUGGAGAGAGACACUUGUUUUUUGCUUUUAUUUUAUUUGUAUGUCUACACUAUCAUGCACACUAGCUAGGUAACCCUAUUUAGGUUAGAAAUAUUUAUACUAUAAUGGGAUAAUUGAUUCUAUCAAUAUAGAUUUUUUUUUCCUUCUUCUCAUAAGCCUCAAAAUUAAAAACUUUAUUUAAAGAAAAUCAACUAAUGUCUAAAAAUAGACAAAUGCUUCAUUUUGAUUAUUAAUUAUCCAAUAUAUGGAUGUGGAAUAAGCAUUACAACAAACAAUAAUGAUGUUUCUACAUCUAUAUAUAUAUAUAUAUAUAUAUAUAUAUAUAUAUAUAUAUAUAUAUAUAUAUAUAUAUAUAUAUUCAUAUCUCUUUCCUUCUAUUUUUUUUAGCAUAUCAUGUUAUUUAAUACAUCUUGCACUUUUUUGUUUUCUUUUUACUUAUCUUAUCCUUACCUCCUGCACUAAAAAAUUAGAGUCUACAAAUAUCAUUUUUUCUAAACAUAUAUCGUUAAAAGAGUAUAUGAGAAUACUAAUAUAAUUUUUUGAGCAUAUUUCUUAUUAUUAAUUGAAAUUUAAGAAAAUUUAUAAACAUACGAAUAAUACUAAUUAAAUAGAAAAAGGAAGAACUAAUUACAUUAUUUCUCAAUAUAGUAGUUAUAGAAGCGUUUCAGGAGAAAAAUUGAUGGGAUUUAUGGGUUUUUUUUAUUUGACUUUGUUUUGAAAGUCCCGUACCACAACCCAUGUGGCUGGAUGUGUAGACUCACAUCUAAUUGUUUUGUACUCUAAUACAGUGGGUCAUAUGUGUGAGAGAAUUAUAUCUGCAUGAACUGUAUGGUUUGGAGUGAACCCAUGUGACUGUUUAUAUGCUCAUGUAUCGACACGCAUUUGGAAACAUAAUUGCUUCAAAAAGAAUAAAAACAAUUAAAAUUUAAAUUUAAUUAAUUAGAUUCAAUAAAUGAAAAAUGAUUUAUUUUUGUUUUUAUAAAACAAAAAAAUCACAUGUUAAUAAAAUAAUUACGAUAAAAAAGUUUAACACAUAAAUUUUAUUUUAUGUUAUAUAUUUUUUUCUCAAGAUUUACUUUUAAGUCUUAUUUAUCGUUGCAAUGACACCUUCAUGUGUGGGAACAUUGCAAUUUGUAGGCUAUUGGAAAACCAGCGAUAAGGUACCGUUUGGAGUUGGCAUUGGGGCACAACUGCACAACAAGGACAAAGAAGAGAAAUUAUGGAGUGAUAGGAUCACGCGGCCUUAAAAAGUACCUUAAUCAUACCAUAUCAUAAUACUACUCGAUCAUAUUCACGUUCACAUAGGAGACAAAGCCAAACAUUGUCCUUGUAUACCAAAGUCACCAAACAAACUUUCGUUAGUACUUGAAAGUCCAUCAACAAAGCCACCGUGUCCCCAGUUGUUGCAAGAUUGUCCCUUUGCAUAUCUCUGAUUUUGAAGACUUUCGCUUCUUAUUAUUCCUCUUUUUUCUUUUUUUGUUUGGCCGACUUUGUUUUUAGAUGCUCCUCCCCUUUUCAUUUUUAGUACAUGUAAUACAACGACUAAAUAGUUUAUCUAUUGAUAUUGUAAAGAGUUUUUAUAUUGUUAUCUAAUAAUAAAUUGCUAUGAGUCAAGUAGUAAUACAAUCACAACAGUUUUA
RNAcentral lists this long non-coding RNA (2027 nucleotides) under Glycine max (soybean). RNAcentral's name for it is "long non-coding RNA (GMAX_LNC003972)". Lineage: Eukaryota; Viridiplantae; Streptophyta; Magnoliopsida; Fabales; Fabaceae. The record is from RNAcentral.